This 457-nucleotide long non-coding RNA is filed under the name Drosophila guanche. The record is from RNAcentral. Lineage: Eukaryota; Metazoa; Arthropoda; Insecta; Diptera; Drosophilidae.
UGGAAGAAUUUAUUUAAAUGGAAAAAAAUAUAAUUGAAAUAUCAACUUUUGGUGCAGGUCAAAAAUCUGUCAUCCAAAAAUGAUUUCCAAUGUAUUCAUUUUUUUUUUUUAGAGAUUUUUCUUCGCAGUGUAGCUGGGCAACAUUGUUGCCAUGUUGUUAAUGUCAUUUGUUGUUCCUCUCGCAUACAUUUUGCGCUCUCUUUGCAGAUGCUUAGCAUAUCUUAACUGGUCCGCCCAACGACCAGAGAUUGAUAUAAAUUUUGCCACAUGUUUACCUAUUGGCAUGCCACAAUUUUCUUUUUGACUUUGACUUUGUCCGGUGUUGCUGUCGGUGUUGUGUCUUGCUUGGAUUUUGUUGUCGCCGUCUUGUUUCAGGCUCCCAAUUUUCGGCUUUCAGCGGAUUUUGCGCGUUUCGUUUUUCCGCAAUUUCCACAACGUUUUUCGGCGGAUGGCAGCU